Molecule: unclassified non-coding RNA, 405 nt
Filed under: Hevea brasiliensis (rubber tree)
Lineage: Eukaryota; Viridiplantae; Streptophyta; Magnoliopsida; Malpighiales; Euphorbiaceae
Source: RNAcentral
GGAAAUUUUGUUUUGGCAGGGGCAAACAAUGGCCAUGAUGUACAAGAUUAUUGCUAAGGCACUCGAAGAAGCAGGCCUUUCUGAUCAGUAUCACCCACAAGAGUAUUUAAACUUUUAUUGCCUUGGUAAACGUGAAGCUUCAUCUGAACAUAUUUAUUCCCAGAUAAAUCAGCAAUCUGACAACCGUUCACUGGCAGCAGUUCAAAAAUAUCGCAGAUUUAUGAUUUACGUCCAUUCCAAAGGGAUGAUAGUUGAUGAUGAAUAUGUACUUAUAGGAUCAGCAAACAUUAACCAGAGAUCCUUGGAUGGUUCAAGGGACACAGAAAUUGCAAUGGGUGCUUACCAACCAACCUACACAUGGGCUGGAAAAAAAUCUCAUCCACGUGCUCAGGUAUAUGGUUAUCG